This 67-nucleotide transfer RNA is filed under the name Apis nuluensis. RNAcentral describes it as "tRNA-Asp". Lineage: Eukaryota; Metazoa; Arthropoda; Insecta; Hymenoptera; Apidae. The record is from RNAcentral.
AAAAAAUUAGUUAAUUAAUAACAUUAGUUUGUCAAACUAAAAUAAAUUUAUUUUAAAUUAUUUUUUA